UUUUGUCCUUUUAUGGCAUCUUCCCGUCAUUGUCAUGGUGAUUGUCAGCCGCUGUGGCACUGGUGGGAGUGUCACGGAGCAUGAAAAUGAGGUUGUAAUGAAGUUGGAGGCCCCGCAAAGGCCAGGUGGACUUCCACUUAGCAUCCUGCUGGUCUUAGCUGGUUUAACCAAGAGGGAAGCCUCUGACCUCAGGCAUCCUAUUGCUGAAGAUAAGCAGAGUUUGAGUUGUGCAACUGUUCAGCCAAGCCUACAAGAUGUAUAGUGCUGUGGGGGUAACAUGGCCUCCCUACCCAGCCUCGCUUCAGAACUUUCGUACCAAGGCUGGACUGUAGAAAAGUCCUUCCUAUGCCAUGGCACUUUCCCACUGAGGCCUCCCAUGGGUGCCGUUUCCUUUGCUGGAAGGUUCUCCUCGACUCCUGGCAGUCUAUACUCAUUUAAAGGUUUCCGCCUUCUCUAAAGCCUCUCGCUGCUGGACUUCACGGUGGAUCAGAUUUCCCUUUUAUAAACAUUCAUAGCAGACUGUACAUUUCUUUCACUGCGUUCACCAAACGAUUUGAUGGCGAAGUGCGUGAGGGCGUGGGCCUUCUCCAUCACUAGCGUUCCUUGCACCCCAGGAGCUCAAUCCGUGUUUCCUAAAUGAAUACUUGACAUUUUGCUUGAUCGUAUAUUCUUGCACAGCAGUGAUCUUCACAACCUUUGAUUAGGCAGUGGCUUCUCAGAUACGACAACAAAAGCAUAAGCAACCAAAGGAAAAAAUAAAUUGGACUUCACCAAAAUUAAAAACUUUAGACUUCAAAGGACAUUCUCAAAAAAGUAAAAAACAACCAUAACCUAGCAAAUAAUAACAUCUGAUAAGGGCCUGAUAUCCAGAAUAUAUAAAGAAUUAUUACAACUCAACAGUGAAAAGACAAUCCAAUUCAAAUUCUUUAAAAUGUUUAAAGAAUUUGAAAAAUCUUCCAAACAAAAUACACAAGUGGCCAGUAAGUGCAUGAAAAGAUGCUCAACGUCAUUAAUCACCAGUGACUUAGUCACCAAUGACUAAUGCAUCAGUCACUUGAAAUGCAAAUCAGAACCUCUGAGAGCUGCCAGGCCACACCCAGUGGGAUGACUGUAAUCAGAAAGACGGGCAGCGCCAGUGAGGAUGCGGGGAGACUGGAGCCUCGUACACAUUGCCAGGGGAACAAAAACAGUGCAGCUGCUGUGCAGAAACGGGAAGACAGUUCCUCAAAGAUGGACGUAGGGCUACCAUGUGACCCAGCAUUUCCACCCUGAGGGGACACUCAGAAGACAGAGGCAGAUCCCCAGUGACAUCUCUUUCCCGUUGGGGUUUGCUUUUGUCACGUAGUCUCCAAUAGAGGUCAUCAUUCCUGGUGCCAGACCAGCUACGAUAUUACCAUACGUGUAGCGUUUUACGUGAGUUACGGAGUACUUGUGUGUUUUGUUUGUUUUUUCCAUAGCUCUUUGAAGUCAUAGAACAGUAUUAUUAUUUGUCUCCGUUUUCAGAUGAGGAAAACGAGACCUUGAGAGACUUUUGUUUGAGGUCAUGCCCGUAGGGAAUGAUAAAAGUCAUAGACCUGCUUAGAGCAGCUCACAGGCAGUUAUAAAACAGGGUUUGAUAUUUUAAAAUUGUAUUUUUACAUUAUUUUAAGUGUUUCUAUAUGGACACAUUUUGGUCUUUAAGAGUAAUUUUAUGUUCUGUGGCUUGUAAACCACCUGCUUGUUUUCUGUACUGGGCACUUUUGUAUUUUUGUGCCUUGACUUUGAGUGAUUUUAUCAUUUUGUUAUCACCACGGAGCGUACUUCGUAAACCGAGAUGGUGUGGCCUACUACACAUCCCCGCUGUGUGGCGCAGCCUGUGGGUCCUAGGCUGCGAGGAGCAAGAGCUGCACUAAAUGCUGUAGGCAACUGAAACACAGUGGGAAUUAUUUGUGUGUCUAAACAGAUCUAAACACAGAAAAGAUGCAGUAAAAAUACAGUGUGAGACUCUGUAGGCCCCCAUCUCACAUGUGGUCAAGUGUGAGACUCUGUAGGCCCCCAUCUCACAUGUGGUCAAGUGUGAGACUCUGUAGGCCCCCAUCUCACAUGUGGUCAAGUGUGAGACUCUGUAGGCCCCCAUCUCACAUGUGGUCAAGUGUGAGACUCUGUAGGGCCCCAUCUCACAUGUGGUCAAGUGUGAGACUCUGUAGGGCCCCAUCUCACAUGUGGUCAAGUGUGAGACUCUGUAGGGCCCCAUCUCACAUGUGGUCAUCUGUAGUUGACCGAAAUGUUGUGUAACAUGUGACUGUUUCCAGGCACACCCUCCCCUAGGUGCUUCAGUUUCUGUUUUUUCAGUCUUUUGAGGUAAAAUUUGCAUGCAGUGAACUACCUACAGUAUUAUCUGUCUGCUUGCUGCUGAGGUAUAGGACAUGAUUGCCACCCCAGAAACUUCCCUCAUCCCUCAUGUGGGGCAGGCCCUUUCUGCUGUCUGGAUUUGUUCCACUGUGGGUUGCUUCCUGCCUGUCGGUGACUUCAUGUAAAUGGACGACCACAGUGUGUACUUUUUGUGUCUGCCUUGGUGGGACUCAUCCUCUUUGUGUGUUUUACUGGUUUGUUUUGUCGUACUGAUGAGAAGUAUUUUUCCAUUUUUCUUUUCUUCUUUUGUUUUUGUUUUUUGAGACGGAGUCACGCUGUGUCACCCAGGCUGAAGUGCAUUGGCCCGGGUUCGAGUGAUUCUCCUGCCUCAGCCUCCUGAGUGGCUGGGAUUACAGGCACACACCACCAUGCCCUAUUUUUCCAUUUUUCAAAAACGGUUUAUAACAAUUAACUUUUACACAUUGUUGCUGCAAAUGAGGCAGUUUUUAGCUGGUGCCGCGGAGGAAGGAUGUUACUCAAGUAGUUAAUUGGGAUUUUCCUGGUUUGUUUUCUCUUUUAUUUUUACCCAUCAGGUAAGACAUCUUUUUUCAUAAUGUUAUUUUGUUUGAUGAAUAUGACUUGAUAUGAAUAAGUUGAUAUGAAUAUGACUUGAGCUUUGGGACUUUACCUCAAGAUAUUAAUUUGUUUAGGCAGUUUAUUUUGUGAUUUAUAAAUAAAAUUUUUAUUUCCUAUGUAACUUAAAAAAAAUUAUUUCCCCAUAGCCGUGCUGGUAUAGAGGACUCUAAGAAGUGGGGCAUGCUGUUUCUGGUGAACCAGCUGUUUAAAAUCUACUUCAAGAUCAACAAACUCCAUUUAUGUAAACCCCUAAUUAGAGCAAUUGACAGCUCAAACCUGAAAGACGAUUACAGCACUGCACAGAGAGUAACAUACAAAUACUACGUUGGACGCAAGGCUAUGUUUGACAGCGAUUUUAAGCAAGCUGAGGAGUACCUGUCAUUUGCCUUUGAGCAUUGUCACCGUUCUAGUCAGAAGAACAAAAGGAUGAUUCUGAUCUAUUUGCUUCCAGUAAAAAUGCUAUUGGGUCACAUGCCCACUGUGGAGCUCCUGAAAAAGUAUCACCUGAUGCAGUUUGCGGAAGUAACCAGAGCUGUGAGCGAGGGCAACCUGCUGCUGCUGCACGAGGCGCUGGCGAAGCACGAGGCCUUCUUCAUUCGCUGCGGAAUCUUCCUCAUCCUGGAGAAGCUGAAGAUCAUCACCUACAGGAACCUCUUUAAGAAAGUGUAUUUGUUACUGAAAACACACCAGCUGUCUCUGGAUGCUUUUCUGGUUGCCUUGAAGUUCAUGCAGGUGGAGGACGUGGACAUUGACGAAGUUCAGUGUAUUCUGGCUAACUUGAUAUACAUGGGACACGUCAAAGGCUACAUAUCGCAUCAGCAUCAGAAGCUGGUGGUCAGCAAGCAGAACCCAUUUCCUCCCCUGUCCACGGUGUGUUGAAAGUACACGGAGACCCGAGGACGACCUGAUGAAAACCUGGAAUUCCUUUUUCACAAACUCGGCUGGUUCUGGAGUCUUUGUGAGACUUCUUUGAAGGAGGCUUUGCGUGAAGGCCGCUCCGGCUCACUUUUCCUAAGUGUGGUUCCUGAAGGCUGUCUUUGUAACUUUUUGUAGUUCUUUGUGUAAAAAGGGUAUUCUGAAUUUAUACACAUGGCAUGUUCUUCAUUAUAUCUUCCAGGAUACAUCUAUUUUUAUAUAUUAAAUUUGAAUGUGUUAUCAAAAUGCUUGGUUAACUUAAGGCACCUUUUUAAAAGCAGAAUUUAAUUUGAUUUAAGUUUUCCAGAUUUUAUAGCUUGCCUGUAUGGAUGCUCCUCAAUUUUUGAUGGGGUUACAUCCCAAUAAACUUAUUUUAUUUGCCUUUG
RNAcentral lists this small RNA (4268 nucleotides) under Pan troglodytes (chimpanzee). RNAcentral's name for it is "processed transcript". Lineage: Eukaryota; Metazoa; Chordata; Mammalia; Primates; Hominidae. The record is from RNAcentral.